RNAcentral lists this ribosomal RNA (636 nucleotides) under Lactobacillaceae bacterium. Its description in RNAcentral is "bacterial SSU rRNA". It matches the Rfam family "Bacterial small subunit ribosomal RNA", at positions 66 to 675 of the family's 1533-position model. The record is from RNAcentral. Lineage: Bacteria; Bacillati; Bacillota; Bacilli; Lactobacillales; Lactobacillaceae.
GAUGAUUUUAGUGCUUGCACUAAAUGAAACUAGAUACAAGCGAGCGGCGGACGGGUGAGUAACACGUGGGUAACCUGCCCAAGAGACUGGGAUAACACCUGGAAACAGAUGCUAAUACCGGAUAACAACACUAGACGCAUGUCUAGAGUUUGAAAGAUGGUUCUGCUAUCACUCUUGGAUGGACCUGCGGUGCAUUAGCUAGUUGGUAAGGUAACGGCUUACCAAGGCAAUGAUGCAUAGCCGAGUUGAGAGACUGAUCGGCCACAUUGGGACUGAGACACGGCCCAAACUCCUACGGGAGGCAGCAGUAGGGAAUCUUCCACAAUGGACGAAAGUCUGAUGGAGCAACGCCGCGUGAGUGAAGAAGGGUUUCGGCUCGUAAAGCUCUGUUGGUAGUGAAGAAAGAUAGAGGUAGUAACUGGCCUUUAUUUGACGGUAAUUACUUAGAAAGUCACGGCUAACUACGUGCCAGCAGCCGCGGUAAUACGUAGGUGGCAAGCGUUGUCCGGAUUUAUUGGGCGUAAAGCGAGUGCAGGCGGUUCAAUAAGUCUGAUGUGAAAGCCUUCGGCUCAACCGGAGAAUUGCAUCAGAAACUGUUGAACUUGAGUGCAGAAGAGGAGAGUGGAACUCCUGGUU